UACAGAGGUGGCAAGCGUUGUUCGGAAUUACUGGGCGUAAAGCGCACGUAGGCGGAUUGUUAAGUCGGGGGUGAAAUCCUGGAGCUCAACUCCAGAACUGCCUUCGAAACUGGCGAUCUUGAGUCCGGGAGAGGUGAGUGGAACUGCGAGUGUAGAGGUGAAAUUCGUAGAUAUUCGCAAGAACACCAGUGGCGAAGGCGGCUCACUGGCCCGGUACUGACGCUGAGGUGCGAAAGCGUGGGGAGCAAACAGG
This 253-nucleotide ribosomal RNA is filed under the name uncultured bacterium. RNAcentral describes it as "partial 16S ribosomal RNA". It matches the Rfam family "Bacterial small subunit ribosomal RNA", at positions 524 to 776 of the family's 1533-position model. The record is from RNAcentral.